CUGAUCCAGCCACGCCGCGUGAAGGAAGAAGGCCCUAGGGGUUGUAAACUUUUUUUGUAGGGGAGAAAUAAGAUCUACGUGUACUGUUUUGAGAGUACCUUACCAAUAAGGAUCGGCUAACUCCAUGCCAGCGGCCGCGGUAAUACGGAGGAUCCAAGCGUUAUCCGGAUUUAUUGGGUUUAAAGGGUGCGCAGGCGGAAUAUUAAGUCAGCGGUGAAAUUUUUCAGCUUAACUGUAAAGGUGCCUUUGAUACUGGUUUUCUUGAAUUUGGUUGAUGUAGGUGGAAUUUGUGGUGUAGCGGUGAAAUGCAUAUAUUUCAAAAGGAACUCCGAUUGCGAAGGCAGCUUACUAAGCCAAAACUGACGCUGAUGCAAAAAGGAUUGAGGAUCGGACAGGAUUAGAUACCCUGGUAGUCCACGCCGUAGACGAUGAUUACUACCUGUUUGCGAUAUACAAUAANCGGCUGACCCAAAGCGUUAAGUAAUCCCCCUGGGGAGUACGAUCGCAAGAAUGAAACUCAAAUGAAUUGACGG
This 533-nucleotide ribosomal RNA is filed under the name uncultured Bacteroidota bacterium. RNAcentral describes it as "bacterial SSU rRNA". It matches the Rfam family "Bacterial small subunit ribosomal RNA", at positions 383 to 916 of the family's 1533-position model. The record is from RNAcentral. Lineage: Bacteria; Pseudomonadati; Bacteroidota.